UGCACUGCAUGGUAUCUGCACUUAGCAGCUCAGGUCCUGCUGGGUGUUCAAAAGACAGUGCAAUAGAAAUUCAGUAUCUGGCAUCGUUGGUUUUCUUGGCUUCGUGCAUGUUAAACCUGGUAUUUUUAUUGAAACAGUA
Vulpes vulpes (red fox) is the source of this 139-nucleotide small nucleolar RNA. Ensembl annotates it as small nucleolar RNA, H/ACA box 8. Its record names the gene SNORA8. The record is from Ensembl. NCBI's taxonomy places the organism in Eukaryota, Metazoa, Chordata, Mammalia, Carnivora, Canidae.